Molecule: non-coding RNA, 97 nt
Organism: Gossypium hirsutum (cotton)
Lineage: Eukaryota; Viridiplantae; Streptophyta; Magnoliopsida; Malvales; Malvaceae
Source: Rfam
UGUUAAAAAUUUCAUCCAUUUCUACUGUUAAAAAAGAUGUGGCUGAUAGAAUAACCUCAUCUAUUUUUAAUAGUAAAAAUUGAUGAAAUUUUUAAUA